This is a long non-coding RNA of Andrographis paniculata, 385 nucleotides long. RefSeq lists it as uncharacterized. NCBI's taxonomy places the organism in Eukaryota, Viridiplantae, Streptophyta, Magnoliopsida, Lamiales, Acanthaceae. The transcript has 3 exons. The record is from RefSeq and is a predicted model, not a curated record.
CUGGGGGUGGGGGCAAAAAGCGAGUAUAUAAAUGCAGAAGAAAUCAAGAUCAUUGAGACCUACAUUCUCACAAAUACUUUUGAGGCAGAAAAAUUCUACCGAUGAAGGUGCCACUGACAAAAUGUCUUUUUGAAUGCUAUGUAUCUUGAUUCAAGCAAUCGGUAAAUCAGUUUGAUGCUACCCAGAAAUUAUAAGUGAUAUGAGCCUUAGCAGCAGACAUAUCUAACAGGGCUAUGUAUCGCCCAAUCGUCUGUCUGUCGAUUCAAGCAACUGCGUCCGUUGAUUGAAGUCUCCGUCUGACGCUCGCAAUUCUUUCUGUGACUCCUAGAUAUUGUGAGUUUGUGUUUGUGUUUGUGAAUUUGGAAUUUGUUUGUGAUCUUCCUGU